Calidris pugnax (ruff) is the source of this 1040-nucleotide long non-coding RNA. RefSeq lists it as uncharacterized. The transcript has 3 exons. Lineage: Eukaryota; Metazoa; Chordata; Aves; Charadriiformes; Scolopacidae. The record is from RefSeq and is a predicted model, not a curated record.
UGGAGGAUUUCUUCAUGGGCUUUCCUUAUCUCUGUGUCCAGCUGCUCCAGCUGGGCCAGAAGAGAGGACUCCUCCUUGUCCAGGAACUCAUGUAAUUUCCUAUAUGUCCUCACAAUCUCCUGCUUUGCAGCUUCUGUCCUCUCCUGCCAAGGGCAAGCAGAAGUAAAGAAAUGGCAGCAGAGAGCAGAAGAGCAUCAAGGGUCAAGGGUGGGCCAUGCCUUAGUGGGAGCCACCAAGAAGAGGCAUUUGGGGAAGAUACAAACCCCCCCUCCCUUCCCCACAGCCCUUGAGCAUCACCCACCCCUGCGGGAGAGGAGGAGGAGGAGGAGAUGUUCCUCCUUUCUUCCCCCACUCUCUGCCCAGGAAAACUGAUGGGCACCUACAGUGUGGUCCUUGAGUCUGUCUUCUCUGUCCUUCAUGGAAGAUUGAAGCGCCUCUUGCUCUGAUUUCAAAAUGUAAAGUUGGAUCUGAAUUUGUUUCUGAGAGGAAAGAAAGAAAGAAAGAAAGAAGUCCCCUGUGGAAUGGCAUCGUGGUCUGGCAACCUCAGCAGAAGCACCGGGGAACUCUUGGUGGCUCUUGGGCAGAGCUGACUUUGAUAAGGGACCCCCACCCCUAGAGGACAGAGCCAUUGAUGGAGUUUUGCAGAGGGAUUCUGGUGGGGAGAAAACCUACGCCUCUGUUUCCUACCCUCCCCUAAGCCGUUGCUCGUGGCUGAACCCUGGGGGAGAGGACCCCUUGGUCCCCAAGAUCGUGCUGCUCCUACGUGCACAUCUUCCUCAGGGCAGGCAAUGCCACCUCAUGAGCACCAACACCAGGAGCUUCUGGACCUUUGUGCCUCAACACACCCAUAACCCCCUCACCUUGUACUGCUGGGCAGCCUCGUCCAUGGGAACCACAAAAUGGUUACGGUGCACCUCGGACCUGUCGCACACCACGCAGAUAAGCCUUUUGUCAUCUUGGCAGAAGAGCUUCAAGGGUUCCUGAUGUUUCUCGCACAAGUUCUCCCCUCCUUCCACCUCUCUGUCUCGUUGAAGAGUCAA